CCGCCUGGGAAGUACGUCCGCAAGGAUGAAACUUAAAGGAAUUGGCGGGGGAGCACCACACCCGGAGGAGCCUGCGGUUUAAUUGGACUCAACGCCGGACAUCUCACCAGUCCCGACAGUAGUCAUGACGGUCAGGUUGACGACUUUACCCGACGCUAUUGAGAGGAGGUGCAUGGCCGCCGUCAGCUCGUACCGUGAGGCAUCCUGUUAAGUCAGGUAACGAGCGAGACCCGCAUCCGUAGUUGCCAGCGAUACCCUGAGGUAGUCGGGUACACUACGGAGACCGCCGACGCUAAGUCGGAGGAAGGAACGGGCAACGGUAGGUCAGUAUGCCCCGAAUGGACUGGGCAACACGCGGGCUACAAUGGUCGAGACAAUGGGUCGCGAUACCGAGAGGUAGAGCUAAUCUCCCAAACUCGGUCGUAGUUCGGAUUGCGGGCUGAAACUCGCCCGCAUGAAGCUGGAUUCGGUAGUAAUCGCGUGUCAGAAGCGCGCGGUGAAUACGUCCCUGCUCCUUGCACACACCGCCCGUCAAAUCACCCGAGUGAGAUCCGGAUGAGGCCAUCAUGCGAUGGUCAAAUCUGGGUUUCGCAAGGGGGAUU
This 602-nucleotide ribosomal RNA is filed under the name uncultured Halobacteriales MT16. Its description in RNAcentral is "bacterial SSU rRNA". It matches the Rfam family "Archaeal small subunit ribosomal RNA", at positions 824 to 1429 of the family's 1478-position model. Lineage: Archaea; Methanobacteriati; Methanobacteriota; Halobacteria; Halobacteriales. The record is from RNAcentral.